AUUGAACGCUGGCGGCAUGCUUUACACAUGCAAGUCGAACGGCAACGCGGGCUUCUGCCUGGCGGCGAGUGGCGAACGGGUGAGUAAUGCAUGGGAACGUGCUGAGUAGUGGGGUAUAGCCCUGCGAAAACCCGAUUAAUACCGCAUACGACCUGAGGGUGAAAGCUGGGGACCGAAGGGCCUCGCGCUAGUGGGGCGGCCGAUGUCGGAUUAGCUAGUUGGUGGGGUGAAGGCUUACCAAGGCGACGAUCCGUAGCUGGUCUGAGAGGACGACCAGCCACACUGGGACUGGGACACGGACAAGACUCCUACGGGAGGCAGCAGUGGGGAAUUUUGGACAAUGGGGGCAACCAUGAUCCAGCCAUGCCGCGUGCGGGAAGAAGGCCUUGGGGUUGUAAACCGCUUUUGUUCGGGAAGAAAUGCUCUGGGCUAAUACCCAGGGGGGAUGACGGUACCGGAAGAAUAAGCACCGGCUAACUACGUG
RNAcentral lists this ribosomal RNA (484 nucleotides) under uncultured bacterium. RNAcentral's name for it is "partial 16S ribosomal RNA". It matches the Rfam family "Bacterial small subunit ribosomal RNA", at positions 29 to 507 of the family's 1533-position model. The record is from RNAcentral.